This 468-nucleotide ribosomal RNA is filed under the name uncultured bacterium. Its description in RNAcentral is "partial 16S ribosomal RNA". It matches the Rfam family "Bacterial small subunit ribosomal RNA", at positions 28 to 507 of the family's 1533-position model. The record is from RNAcentral.
GACGAACGCUGGCGGCGCGCCUAACACAUGCAAGUCGAACGGAGCUGAGAGAAGCUUGCUUUUCUUAGCUUAGUGGCGAACGGGUGAGUAACGCGUGAGUAACCUGCCCUGGAGUGGGGGACAACAGUUGGAAACGACUGCUAAUACCGCAUAAGCCCACGAUCCGGCAUCGGAUUGAGGGAAAAGGAUUUAUUCGCUUCAGGAUGGACUCGCGUCCAAUUAGCUAGUUGGUGAGGUAACGGCCCACCAAGGCGACGAUUGGUAGCCGGACUGGGAGGUUGAACGGCCACAUUGGGACUGAGACACGGCCCAGACUCCUACGGGAAGCAGCAGUGGGGGAUAUUGCACAAUGGGGGAAACCCUGAUGCAGCGACGCCGCGUGGAGGAAGAAGGUUUUCGGAUUGUAAACUCCUGUCGUUAGGGACGAUAAUGACGGUACCUAACAAGAAAGCACCGGCUAACUACGUG